This 408-nucleotide ribosomal RNA is filed under the name uncultured Methylomirabilota bacterium. Its description in RNAcentral is "bacterial SSU rRNA". It matches the Rfam family "Bacterial small subunit ribosomal RNA", at positions 1027 to 1434 of the family's 1533-position model. The record is from RNAcentral. Lineage: Bacteria; Methylomirabilota (SeqCode).
CGUGGAGACAGGUGGUGCAUGGCUGUCGUCAGCUCGUGUCGUGAGAUGUUGGGUUAAGUCCCGCAACGAGCGCAACCCUCACCCCUGGUUGCCACCGGGUAAAGCCGAGCACUCGAGGGGAACUGCCAGCGUCAAGCUGGAGGAAGGCGGGGAUGACGUCAAGUCAUCAUGCCCCUUACGCCCCGGGCUACACACGUGCUACAAUGGCCGGUACAAAAGGACGCGAGACCGCGAGGUGGAGCUAAUCCCAAAAAACCGGUCUAAGUUCAGAUUGCAGUCUGCAACUCGACUGCAUGGAGGAGGAAUCGCUAGUAAUCGCGCAUCAGCACGGCGCGGUGAAUACGUUCCCGGGCCUUGUACACACCGCCCGUCACACCACGAAAGCUGUCUGUACUCGAAGUCGCUGAG